Formica exsecta is the source of this 1101-nucleotide long non-coding RNA. RefSeq lists it as uncharacterized. The record is from RefSeq and is a predicted model, not a curated record. The transcript has 4 exons. Lineage: Eukaryota; Metazoa; Arthropoda; Insecta; Hymenoptera; Formicidae.
UAUAGUUAAUAUUGCUUCAUUAUUAAUUGCUGCGUUUGCGAUUUCAUCGUAGAGCAUGGAAAUUUCAUAUCUAUAUGUAUAAUGGCAUCGAUAGAAUCCUACCCUAUCACGCGCCUGUCGUAACAAACGAUCGCCUGGGCGUAUGAUAAGGAGAACCUCAUUAAUGCCGUUCAGAAUACAUUUGAACCGAGCGCGAACGUGAAGCGCAUGUGCGCUUCUGGGUUCUUGAUUGGACAAGACUACGACAUGAGUUGCGUAACAGUGCAAUAGCACAGUAUACACUGUGGCAAUAGCGAGAAAACGAGAAAUGUAACACGUGCCCAAUAAGUGAUUCUGAAGCCGGUCGAAGUUUUGUGUAUCUAUGUGUAUCUGGCGUGUCUCUUAUAAAAUAAAGAGAAAAUAAUAUAUUAGCAAAAGGAAUUUCAUGAGAAACACAGCGGUGGUGUAGCUGCUGUUAACAGUGCGUGGCUUCCCUUUUUUAAAAAGGAAGUUUUUUGGCCUCCGUAUAAAGAUCAAAAUAAAUUUGACAAAGCUUUGAGAACAGGGGAAACAGUUGAUACUGAAAAAUGGACACUGCACAGUAUUUCGCGUAUUUUUUACAGUAGUGAUGAUCUUGUAAAGACAAGAGAGAAACUAAAACGGUCAGAAAUUAUAUCAAAUUUGGAGAGUGAAGAAGAAAACGAAGAUAUACGUAAGAAACGGAAAAGAAUGUCUAGAAGAAUAUAUAAUUCAUCGUCAGAUGAUGAACAAGAGGAAGAACGAGGAAAACAACGAGAAAAACUUGUUUCCCUGAUAGCUACUGUCAAGGAACAGAAUGAUGAAAUAUUUGUCACGUCCCGCGACCAUUUUUCCGAUUUUCUUUCCUCUGUUAUAUUUUCGAAAUUGAUUAAAAGAACUCUAAGUCCCUUUUACGCGAUUCAAAAAGCUCGCCUUUGGCGGCCAUGACACCUUGCUUCUACUAGUACCUAAGCGUGGCGCUACCAUAAUAGCGCGUCAUCUCACUACCUCGCCAUCCCACUACCACGUAUCCCCACUUGCGGACGACAGCAGCGGCCGAGCCGCCGAAACGAAGGACCUCAGUGCAGGCCCCGACUUCGUCAG